CCUACGGGAGGCAGCAGUAGGGAAUUUUCGUCAAUGGGCGCAAGCCUGAACGAGCGAUGCCGCGUGAGUGAAGAAGGCCUUCGGGUCGUAAAGCUCUGUUGCGGGGGAAAAAAUGCAGCAUCAGGAAAUGGGUGCUGACUGAUGGUGCCCCGCCAGAAAGUCACGGCUAACUACGUGCCAGCAGCCGCGGUAAUACGUAGGUGGCGAGCGUUAUCCGGAAUGGUUGGGCGUAAAGGGUGCGCAGGCGGUCCUGCAAGUCUGGAGUGAAACGCAUGAGCUCAACUCAUGCAUGGCUUUGGAAACUGGAGGACUGGAGAGCAGGAGAGGGCGGUGGAACUCCAUGUGUAGCGGUAAAAUGCGUAGAUAUAUGGAAGAACACCAGUGGCGAAGGCGGCCGCCUGGCCUGUUGCUGACGCUGAGGCACGAAAGCGUGGGGAGCAAAUAGGAUUAGAUACCCGGGUAGUC
Molecule: ribosomal RNA, 465 nt
Filed under: uncultured bacterium
Lineage: Bacteria
Description: partial 16S ribosomal RNA
Rfam family: Bacterial small subunit ribosomal RNA
Source: RNAcentral